Molecule: ribosomal RNA, 109 nt
Filed under: Staphylococcus aureus
Lineage: Bacteria; Bacillati; Bacillota; Bacilli; Caryophanales; Staphylococcaceae
Description: partial 16S rRNA
Rfam family: Bacterial small subunit ribosomal RNA
Source: RNAcentral
CGGUGGAGUAACCUUUUAGGAGCUAGCCGUCGAAGGUGGGACAAAUGAUUGGGGUGAAGUCGUAACAAGGUAGCCGUAUCGGAAGGUGCGGCUGGAUCACCUCCUUUCU